AUCGCUUCUCAGCCUUUUGGCUAAGAUCAAGUGUAGAAUCAUAACCUUCCCAUGGGCCUUUGUUUCUGUAAGAUAGGAAUAAUGACAUCCAAGUGUUUACCUUAUAAAGGUACAAGGAUUGAAUAAGAGCCUGCUUUUAAAAUACUCACAGGAAUACUGUGUUGCACAAAGGAUGAUGCUCUUUGCAAGU
Arvicanthis niloticus (Nile rat) is the source of this 190-nucleotide small nuclear RNA. RefSeq annotates it as U2 spliceosomal RNA. The record is from RefSeq and is a predicted model, not a curated record. Lineage: Eukaryota; Metazoa; Chordata; Mammalia; Rodentia; Muridae.